Aethalodelphis obliquidens (Pacific white-sided dolphin) is the source of this 1713-nucleotide long non-coding RNA. RefSeq lists it as uncharacterized. NCBI's taxonomy places the organism in Eukaryota, Metazoa, Chordata, Mammalia, Artiodactyla, Delphinidae. The transcript has 3 exons. The record is from RefSeq and is a predicted model, not a curated record.
UGGGGGACGGGGAAACGGACGUUUGGCCGGGCUCGGUCGGAGGGCGGGUGCGGGUCCCCGCGUGUCACGCUCCAGCACGAGAGGACAAGGAGGGCAGGAGUGAUCACUGACUCGGUGCCUUGGACGGCGGAGCUCCUGUGUUGUUCCUUACGCGUGACGUUUUUUCAUCUCAAGGUGAUCCCAUAAAGUGGAUACUGUUACUAGCCCUAUUUUACAAUCUGCCCAAGAAGGGGUGAGGCCUGGAAGUGAGGCGCGCAGAGAUGGGACGUACACCACCAAGUCUGGAGAGGGCGCCUCCAGAUGCUUCUUUGCAGGGCUUGCUGCCUCUUGAACCAUGAACUUUCUCUCAAAAGCCAUCUGGUUUCUCGUCUCGAAAACAUCCCACGACAGCUCUGAGUGCUACAAACCAGGCUGGGUCAUCUGCUGCUGCUGGCUUCCAGAUAUUGCUCCAAACGUUUCUGCAAGGCUGGUGACGUCCCAAGACACUGAGACUUUAGAUGCCCACUGCCCAAUAUUUGGUAGUGCUCACAAAACAUGUCGAUGGAGAAAAAAGUAUGACUGCAACACGGGGCAGCAAUAGGUAACAGGGAAGACCUGCGCGCACACUAGGUUUACGCCCCGCUUCAUUUGAGGCCCUUGGAGGAAGCUGGAAAAGCAUGUAUGUAGUUCAGUAAUCUCCAACUGGUCUUUCUGUGCAUGAACUCAAGAGCUGGAACUGUAUUACAAAGCAAGGAGCUGGUGCUCAGCAUUCAGCAGGGAGUUCUCAGGGGCCUACGUCCAGGAUUUUAGACGAUGUUCACCUUUUCAUGAGUGAACUUACCAAGAGUAACUUAAAUCACAGCUUUAGGUAUUCUAACAACAGCUUGUUACAUCCUUGGGCACAGUUACAUGAGGAUGCACCUACAUAUCCAUCAGCAGGUGUGGGGGGAUAGCUCCAACAAAUACCUUUGACCUUGAAGAGACAAACCUGACCACUGUAGUGUGGCCUCAGGCUCUAAAUGCAUGCCUCAGUGCAGCCAGACUUGCUCAACGCCCAGGCAAGGCCACAGAUGGUACCCAGUGCUUCUGUGCGGCUGAAGAAUAUAGUGUAGAGAUCCUGAUGUUUGUUAAUUGCUGCUCUUCCUUCUUUUUUCCUUUCUUUUUAAGAUCUUCUCAUGCAGCAAAGUUCCUGUCUACCAACAUGAGUUGCAGUCUAAAGCCACAGUGAAUUUUGUGACAGUAACAUUAACAAUCCAAUGGAAUAGAAACAUUCUAGUCUUCCAUAAACGUACUGAACAUGGAGAACAGAAAUGAUUCUAGGCAUGACUUUGGUUUUUUUAAUUCUUCUUGAGGGAGAUAUAAAGAGCACAGCAUCUUUGAAUUCUUGAGGCACUGUCACAAUACGCCAUGUGUUAUGGAAAAGCUGACACAUAAAUAUGGGUCAUUAUUACUCUCCUUCUAAGAACUGCAAGAGAGAGAGUGAGAGAGAGAGAGAGAGAGAGAAGCUGCAGCAAUCCAGACCAGACCAUGUGCUAACACCAAACAGAAGAAGAAACGAUCAUAUACACACUCACUAUACACUGGACUCCUUACUCUGUACAUACCCUCUGUUCUUUGGUCCAGGUCCCUCAUGAGCUGGAAGUUUCUCUGCAGUUCAAAUGGGAGGUUUUCAAUACCUGGGGAGAAGAGGAGAAAUUGAGCCUCCCUGGACGUCCUAGGCCCUACCGCUGCUUU